RNAcentral lists this ribosomal RNA (818 nucleotides) under uncultured bacterium. RNAcentral describes it as "bacterial SSU rRNA". It matches the Rfam family "Bacterial small subunit ribosomal RNA", at positions 61 to 879 of the family's 1533-position model. The record is from RNAcentral.
GUCGGACGGGAUUUGGGAGCUUGCUCCUGAUGAGAGUGGCGCACGGGUGCGUAACACGUAUGUAACCUACCCAUAUCAGGGGGAUAGCCUCUCGAAAGAGAGAUUAAGACCGCAUAACAUUAUUUUGUGGCAUCAUAGAAUAAUCAAAUAUUUAUAGGAUAUGGAUGGGCAUGCGGAACAUUAGCUAGUUGGUAAGGUAACGGCUUACCAAGGCUACGAUGUUUAGGGGAUCUGAGAGGAUGACCCCCCACACUGGUACUGAGACACGGACCAGACUCCUACGGGAGGCAGCAGUAAGGAAUAUUGGUCAAUGGGCGGAAGCCUGAACCAGCCAUGCCGCGUGCAGGAAGACGGCCCUACGGGUUGUAAACUGCUUUUGUACGGGAAUAAACCUCGAUACGUGUAUCGAGCUGAAUGUACUGUAAGAAUAAGGAUCGGCUAACUCCGUGCCAGCAGCCGCGGUAAUACGGAGGAUCCAAGCGUUAUCCGGAUUUAUUGGGUUUAAAGGGUGCGUAGGCGGCCUAUUAAGUCAGGGGUGAAAGACGGUAGCUUAACUAUCGCAGUGCCUUUGAUACUGAUGGGCUUGAAUGCAGCUGAGGUAGGCGGAAUGUGACAAGUAGCGGUGAAAUGCAUAGAUAUGUCACAGAACACCGAUUGCGAAGGCAGCUUACUAAAGUGUGAUUGACGCUGAGGCACGAAAGCGUGGGGAUCAAACAGGAUUAGAUACCCUGGUAGUCCACGCCCUAAACGAUGAAUACUCGAUGUUGGCGAUAUACGGUCAGCGUCUAAGCGAAAGCGUUAAGUAUUCCACCUGGGGA